RNAcentral lists this ribosomal RNA (740 nucleotides) under uncultured Stenotrophomonas bacterium. Its description in RNAcentral is "bacterial SSU rRNA". It matches the Rfam family "Bacterial small subunit ribosomal RNA", at positions 108 to 843 of the family's 1533-position model. Lineage: Bacteria; Pseudomonadati; Pseudomonadota; Gammaproteobacteria; Lysobacterales; Lysobacteraceae. The record is from RNAcentral.
GAGGAAUACAUCGGAAUCUACUCUGUCGUGGGGGAUAACGUAGGGAAACUUACGCUAAUACCGCAUACGACCUACGGGUGAAAGCAGGGGACCUUCGGGCCUUGCGCGAUUGAAUGAGCCGAUGUCGGAUUAGCUAGUUGGCGGGGUAAAGGCCCACCAAGGCGACGAUCCGUAGCUGGUCUGAGAGGAUGAUCAGCCACACUGGAACUGAGACACGGUCCAGACUCCUACGGGAGGCAGCAGUGGGGAAUAUUGGACAAUGGGCGCAAGCCUGAUCCAGCCAUACCGCGUGGGUGAAGAAGGCCUUCGGGUUGUAAAGCCCUUUUGUUGGGAAAGAAAUCCAGCUGGCUAAUACCCGGUUGGGAUGACGGCACCCAAAGAAUAAGCACCGGCUAACUUCGUGCCAGCAGCCGCGGUAAUACGAAGGGUGCAAGCGUUACUCGGAAUUACUGGGCGUAAAGCGUGCGUAGGUGGUCGUUUAAGUCCGUUGUGAAAGCCCUGGGCUCAACCUGGGAACUGCAGUGGAUACUGGGCGACUAGAAUGUGGUAGAGGGUAGCGGAAUUCCUGGUGUAGCAGUGAAAUGCGUAGAGAUCAGGAGGAACAUCCAUGGCGAAGGCAGCUACCUGGACCAACAUUGACACUGAGGCACGAAAGCGUGGGGAGCAAACAGGACUAGAUACCCUGGUAGUCCACGCCCUAAACGAUGCGAACUGGAUGUUGGGUGCAAUUUGGCACGCAG